RNAcentral lists this transfer RNA (73 nucleotides) under Stegodyphus mimosarum. Its description in RNAcentral is "tRNA-Thr for anticodon CGU". It matches the Rfam family "tRNA". From Rfam's summary of the family: Transfer RNA (tRNA) molecules are approximately 80 nucleotides in length. Their secondary structure includes four short double-helical elements and three loops (D, anti-codon, and T loops). Further hydrogen bonds mediate the characteristic L-shaped molecular structure. tRNAs have two regions of fundamental functional importance: the anti-codon, which is responsible for specific mRNA codon recognition, and the 3' end, to which the tRNAs corresponding amino acid is attached (by aminoacyl-tRNA synthetases). tRNAs cope with the degeneracy of the genetic code in two manners: having more than one tRNA (with a specific anti-codon) for a particular amino acid; and 'wobble' base-pairing, i.e. permitting non-standard base-pairing at the 3rd anti-codon position. The record is from Rfam by way of RNAcentral. Lineage: Eukaryota; Metazoa; Arthropoda; Arachnida; Araneae; Eresidae.
GCCUUCGUGGUGUAGUGGUCAGCACGCUCGACGCGUAACCGAGAGAUCCCUGGUUCGAUUCCCGGCGAAGGCG